AAAUUGAAGAGUUUGAUCAUGGCUCAGAUUGAACGCUGGCGGCAGGCCUAACACAUGCAAGUCGAACGGUAACAGGAAGCAGCUUGCUGCUUUGCUGACGAGUGGCGGACGGGUGAGUAAUGUCUGGGAAACUGCCUGAUGGAGGGGGAUAACUACUGGAAACGGUGGCUAAUACCGCAUAACGUCGCAAGACCAAAGAGGGGGACCUUCGGGCCUCUUGCCAUCAGAUGUGCCCAGAUGGGAUUAGCUUGUUGGUGAGGUAACGGCUCACCAAGGCGACGAUCCCUAGCUGGUCUGAGAGGAUGACCAGCCACACUGGAACUGAGACACGGUCCAGACUCCUACGGGAGGCAGCAGUGGGGAAUAUUGCACAAUGGGCGCAAGCCUGAUGCAGCCAUGCCGCGUGUAUGAAGAAGGCCUUCGGGUUGUAAAGUACUUUCAGCGGGGAGGAAGGUGUUGCGGUUAAUAACCGCAGCAAUUGACGUUACCCGCAGAAGAAGCACCGGCUAACUCCGUGCCAGCAGCCGCGGUAAUACGGAGGGUGCAAGCGUUAAUCGGAAUUACUGGGCGUAAAGCGCACGCAGGCGGUCUGUCAAGUCGGAUGUGAAAUCCCCGGGCUCAACCUGGGAACUGCAUUCGAAACUGGCAGGCUUGAGUCUUGUAGAGGGGGUAGAAUUCCAGGUGUAGCGGUGAAAUGCGUAGAGAUCUGGAGGAAUACCGGUGGCGAAGGCGGCCCCCUGGACAAAGACUGACGCUCAGGUGCGAAAGCGUGGGGAGCAAACAGGAUUAGAUACCCUGGUAGUCCACGCCGUAAACGAUGUCUACUUGGAGGUUGUGCCCUUGAGGCGUGGCUUCCGGAGCUAACGCGUUAAGUAGACCGCCUGGGGAGUACGGCCGCAAGGUUAAAACUCAAAUGAAUUGACGGGGGCCCGCACAAGCGGUGGAGCAUGUGGUUUAAUUCGAUGCAACGCGAAGAACCUUACCUGGUCUUGACAUCCACAGAAGAAUCCAGAGAUGGAUUUGUGCCUUCGGGAACUGUGAGACAGGUGCUGCAUGGCUGUCGUCAGCUCGUGUUGUGAAAUGUUGGGUUAAGUCCCGCAACGAGCGCAACCCUUAUCCUUUGUUGCCAGCGAUUAGGUCGGGAACUCAAAGGAGACUGCCAGUGAUAAACUGGAGGAAGGUGGGGAUGACGUCAAGUCAUCAUGGCCCUUACGACCAGGGCUACACACGUGCUACAAUGGCGCAUACAAAGAGAAGCGACCUCGCGAGAGCAAGCGGACCUCAUAAAGUGCGUCGUAGUCCGGAUUGGAGUCUGCAACUCGACUCCAUGAAGUCGGAAUCGCUAGUAAUCGUGGAUCAGAAUGCCACGGUGAAUACGUUCCCGGGCCUUGUACACACCGCCCGUCACACCAUGGGAGUGGGUUGCAAAAGAAGUAGGUAGCUUAACCUUCGGGAGGGCGCUUACCACUUUGUGAUUCAUGACUGGGGUGAAGUCGUAACAAGGUAACCGUAGGGGAACCUGCGGUUGGAUCACCUCCUUACCUUAAAGAA
This 1551-nucleotide ribosomal RNA is filed under the name Salmonella enterica subsp. enterica serovar Typhimurium. Its description in RNAcentral is "bacterial SSU rRNA". It matches the Rfam family "Bacterial small subunit ribosomal RNA". Lineage: Bacteria; Pseudomonadati; Pseudomonadota; Gammaproteobacteria; Enterobacterales; Enterobacteriaceae. The record is from RNAcentral.